This 442-nucleotide ribosomal RNA is filed under the name uncultured Alphaproteobacteria bacterium. RNAcentral's name for it is "bacterial SSU rRNA". It matches the Rfam family "Bacterial small subunit ribosomal RNA", at positions 29 to 505 of the family's 1533-position model. Lineage: Bacteria; Pseudomonadati; Pseudomonadota; Alphaproteobacteria. The record is from RNAcentral.
AAUGAACGCUGGCGGCAGGCUUAACACAUGCAAGUCGAGCGCGAACGCACCUUCGGGUGUUAUUAGAGCGGCAAACGGGUGAGUAACACGUGGGAAUCUACCCUUCGGUAAGGGAUAGCCAUUGGAAACGAUGAUUAAUACCUUAUACGGACUACGGUCGAAAGAUUUAUCGCCGAAGGAUGAGCCCGCGUUAGAUUAGCUAGUUGGUAAGGUAAUGGCUUACCAAGGCUACGAUCUAUAGCUGGUCUGAGAGGAUGAUCAGCCACACUGGGACUGAGAUACGGCCCAGACUCCUACGGGAGGCAGCAGUGAGGAAUAUUGGACAAUGGAGGAAACUCUGAUCCAGCCAUGCCGCGUGUGUGAUGAAGGCCUUAGGGUUGUAAAACACUUUCAGUGGGGAAGAUAAUGACGGUACCCACAGAAGAAGCUCCGGCUAACUCCG